This 549-nucleotide ribosomal RNA is filed under the name uncultured bacterium. Its description in RNAcentral is "partial 16S ribosomal RNA". It matches the Rfam family "Bacterial small subunit ribosomal RNA", at positions 355 to 892 of the family's 1533-position model. The record is from RNAcentral.
UGGGGAAUAUUGCACAAUGGGCGCAAGCCUGAUGCAGCCAUGCCGCGUGUGUGAAGAAGGCCUUCGGGUUGUAAAGCACUUUUGUCCGGAAAGAAAUCCUUGGCUCUAAUACAGUCGGGGAUGACGGUACCGGAAGAAUAAGCACCGGCUAACUACGUGCCAGCAGCCGCGGUAAUACGUAGGGUGCAAGCGUUAAUCGGAAUUACUGGGCGUAAAGCGUGCGCAGGCGGUUUGCUAAGACCGAUGUGAAAUCCCCGGGCUCAACCUGGGAACUGCAUUGGUGACUGGCAGGCUAGAGUAUGGCAGAGGGGGGUAGAAUUCCACGUGUAGCAGUGAAAUGCGUAGAGAUGUGGAGGAAUACCGAUGGCGAAGGCAGCCCCCUGGGCCAAUACUGACGCUCAUGCACGAAAGCGUGGGGAGCAAACAGGAUUAGAUACCCUGGUAGUCCACGCCCCUAAACGAUGUCAACUAGUUGUUGGGGGCAUUCAUUUUCCCUUAGUAACGUAGCUAACGCGUGAAGUUGGACCGCCUGGGGAGUACGGUCGCAAG